Molecule: ribosomal RNA, 440 nt
Filed under: uncultured bacterium
Lineage: Bacteria
Description: partial 16S ribosomal RNA
Rfam family: Bacterial small subunit ribosomal RNA
Source: RNAcentral
CCUACGGGAGGCAGCAGUGGGGGAUAUUGCACAAUGGGGGAAACCCUGAUGCAGCGACGCCGCGUGAGUGAAGAAGUAUUUCGGUAUGUAAAGCUCUAUCAGCAGGGAAGAAAAUGACAGUACCUGACCAAGAAGCCCCGGCUAACUACGUGCCAGCAGCCGCGGUAAUACGUAGGGGGCAAGCGGUAUCCGGAUUUACUGGGUGUAAAGGGAGCGUAGACGGUUAGGUAAGUCUGGAGUGAAAGCCCGGGGCCCAACCCCGGGACUGCGUUGGAAACUGUGUAACUGGAGUGCAGGUGGGGCAGGCGGAAUGUCUGGUGUAGCGGUGAAAUGCGUAGAUAUCAGGCGGAACACCGGCGGCGAAGGCGGCCUGCUGGACUGAAACUGACGUUGAGGCUCGAAAGCGUGGGGAGCAAACAGGAUUAGAUACCCCAGUAGUC